AUUGAACGCUGGCGGCAGGCCUAACACAUGCAAGUCGAACGAGUGGCGGACGGGUGAGUAAUGUCUGGGAAACUGCCUGAUGGAGGGGGAUCACUACUGGAAACGGUAGCUAAUACCGCAUCCCAUCAGAUGUGCCCAGAUGGGCUUAGCUUGUUGGUGGGGUAACGACUCACCAAGGCGACGAUCCCUAGCUGGUCUGAGAGGAUGAACAGCAACACUGAAACUGAGAGACGGUCCAGACUCCUACGGGAGGAAGCAGUGGGGAAUAUUGCAAAAUGGGCGCAAGCCUGAUGCAGCCAUGCAGCGUGUAUGAAGAAUGCCUUCGGGUUGUAAAGUACUUUCAGCGGGGAGGCGUUACACGCAGAAGAAGCACCGGCUAACUCCGUGCCAGCAGCCGCGGUAAUAC
This 406-nucleotide ribosomal RNA is filed under the name uncultured bacterium. Its description in RNAcentral is "partial 16S ribosomal RNA". It matches the Rfam family "Bacterial small subunit ribosomal RNA", at positions 30 to 526 of the family's 1533-position model. The record is from RNAcentral.